RNAcentral lists this unclassified non-coding RNA (378 nucleotides) under uncultured Chlamydiales bacterium. RNAcentral's name for it is "contains 16S-23S intergenic spacer region". The record is from RNAcentral. Lineage: Bacteria; Pseudomonadati; Chlamydiota; Chlamydiia; Chlamydiales.
UCCUAGUUAACCUAGGCAGUCUCAUUAGAGUUCCCACCUUCACGUGUUGGCAACUAAUGACAAGGGUUGCGCUCGUUGCGGGACUUAACCCAACACCUCACGGCACGAGCUGACGACAGCCAUGCAGCACCUGUGCAAAGGCCCCGAAGGGAGGCGCCAUCUCUGGCGCUGUCCUCUGCAUGUCAAGCCUGGGUAAGGUUCUUCGCGUUGCAUCGAAUUAAACCACAUGCUCCACUGCUUGUGCGGGUCCCCGUCAAUUCUUUUGAGUUUCACCCUUGCGAGCGUACUCCCCAGGCGGUAUACUUAAUGCGUUAGCGUCGGCACCGUUAGGGUUGAAUCCAACGACACCUAGUAUACAUCGUUUAAGGCAAGGACUAC